AUUGAACGCUGGCGGCAGGCCUAACACAUGCAAGUCGAGCGGUAGCACAGAGAGCUUGCUCUCGGGUGACGAGCGGCGGACGGGUGAGUAAUGUCUGGGAAACUGCCUGAUGGAGGGGGAUAACUACUGGAAACGGUAGCUAAUACCGCAUAACGUCGCAAGACCAAAGAGGGGGACCUUCGGGCCUCUUGCCAUCAGAUGUGCCCAGAUGGGAUUAGCUAGUAGGUGGGGUAACGGCUCACCUAGGCGACGAUCCCUAGCUGGUCUGAGAGGAUGACCAGCCACACUGGAACUGAGACACGGUCCAGACUCCUACGGGAGGCAGCAGUGGGGAAUAUUGCACAAUGGGCGCAAGCCUGAUGCAGCCAUGCCGCGUGUAUGAAGAAGGCCUUCGGGUUGUAAAGUACUUUCAGCGAGGAGGAAGGUGCUGAGGUUAAUAACCUCAGCAAUUGACGUUACUCGCAGAAGAAGCACCGGCUAACUCCGUGCCAGCAGCCGCGGUAAUACGGAGGGUGCAAGCGUUAAUCGGAAUUACUGGGCGUAAAGCGCACGCAGGCGGUCUGUCAAGUCGGAUGUGAAAUCCCCGGGCUCAACCUGGGAACUGCAUUCGAAACUGGCAGGCUAGAGUCUUGUAGAGGGGGGUAGAAUUCCAGGUGUAGCGGUGAAAUGCGUAGAGAUCUGGAGGAAUACCGGUGGCGAAGGC
RNAcentral lists this ribosomal RNA (703 nucleotides) under uncultured Gammaproteobacteria bacterium. RNAcentral describes it as "bacterial SSU rRNA". It matches the Rfam family "Bacterial small subunit ribosomal RNA", at positions 28 to 722 of the family's 1533-position model. The record is from RNAcentral. Lineage: Bacteria; Pseudomonadati; Pseudomonadota; Gammaproteobacteria.